AGUGAACGCUGGCGGUAGGCCUAACACAUGCAAGUCGAACGGCAGCACAGGAGAGCUUGCUCUCUGGGUGGCGAGUGGCGGACGGGUGAGGAAUACAUCGGAAUCUACUCUGUCGUGGGGGAUAACGUAGGGAAACUUACGCUAAUACCGCAUACGACCUACGGGUGAAAGCAGGGGACCUUCGGGCCUUGCGCGAUUGAAUGAGCCGAUGUCGGAUUAGCUAGUUGGCGGGGUAAAGGCCCACCAAGGCGACGAUCCGUAGCUGGUCUGAGAGGAUGAUCAGCCACACUGGAACUGAGACACGGUCCAGACUCCUACGGGAGGCAGCAGUAGGGAAUAUUGCGCAAUGGGCGAAAGCCUGACGCAGCAAUACCGCGUGAGUGAGGAAGGUCUUCGGAUUGUAAAACUCUGUCGGGAUGGAAAGAUGACGUAUGGUCUAAUAGGCCGUACGAGUGAUGGUACAUCCAAAGGAAGCACCGGCUAACUUCGUGCCAGCAGCCGCCGUAA
RNAcentral lists this ribosomal RNA (507 nucleotides) under uncultured bacterium. Its description in RNAcentral is "partial 16S ribosomal RNA". It matches the Rfam family "Bacterial small subunit ribosomal RNA", at positions 29 to 523 of the family's 1533-position model. The record is from RNAcentral.